UUAUAGUAUAAUUUUAAUUAUAGACAAGUCAUUGUUUUCCAAAUGUAAAACAGGAUUUUGUUAUUUUAAAAAAAUAGUGGAAAACAACUUAAAAUUGUUUUCUAAAUCUUAAUUAAAUUUUGGAAAACUGAAAAACUAGUUUUUUAGUUCUGCACUUGAAAAACUAGCACAUAUGAACACGAAACUUUGUUUUCUAGUUUUCUUUUAAAAUUUUUCUAGGAAACAAUUUCGGUUUUCCACAAGUGAACAAGCCCUAAGUUAACCGUCUUCACUUCUUAUGACAAUAGCAACAAAAAAAUUAAAAAAAAAGGGCCUUUUUGGGGGGAAAGGGAAAGAAAAAAGCAUCUUAUGUUGCAUGGUGGCUUUGAUUUAGGUACUACCAAAACUUAAAUUUGGACAUGGAUUAACAUUAUUUUAAUUAUAGUUCAUUUGAAAAAGCAAGAGCAGAUAUGUCAUAGUCAAACCAGCUUUAGAGAGAAACCUAUCAACUGGAAGUGUCAUAGUUAAAAAAAAAAAAAAGUUAGAUAUCUAAGUUUCAUCUGCCAAAGCUUCUUCCCACAAAAUGUGUGCGCGCGCGCGUGUGUGUGUGUCAAGGCACAUCCUUCUUUUUCUUUUUUUCUCCAUUUUACAAUAAAAAAAAAAUUCAUGACUAGAAUUUUGUGUAAUGAGAUCUAAGCACGGCACAACGUUUAGUUGGACCGGACUCAUUGCAUGUGGAUCAGCGAUACUUUUGGCAUUGAAAGAAGAGCAACAACAUUGCACAGCAUUUUUUUAAAGCAUCAAAUAAUUAUAAACCAGUCCCUGGCUAGAAAAGGAGUACAUCUUUUCUUCUCAUCAGGACAUAAUAACGAAGCAAAUGUAAUAUGCAAUUUGGAAGGGAUAUACCAUCAUAAUACCACAAAAACCUGGAGAUAAGAGAAGAAAUAAGAAACCUCUAAAAGAAGACAUUUUGUUCUACCGUACAUGCUAUAAUUUUGUUUGCACUGAUUUCAACCUUGAGGACAAGGUUGACUUCAAAUACAAUUAGAGUUUAAGAAACAUUUUAUUCAGAAUCCUAAAAACUGAAUCAAAUUUCAUCUUUGAUGUCUUUUGUACCACUGACUCCAUAACAGGAAGGAUAACAGCUACAGAGAAUCAUAACUUUCAGGCAUAACAACAAUUAAAUUUUGAAAUCAUUUAUAAUAUGUGGCGUGGAAUGUGCAACUGCAAACGUAGUCAAAUAACUGAAUUAGAUCACAAACUUUUUAAGUCAGUUUCACCCAAAUUUUAUAGAUAUAAUAGAUUCAUAAACAACCAAAAAUCCCAAAUCAGUAAAUGGCAAUAAUGAAAAUAAAUCAAUAAUGUCAAAGGCUCGAAACAAGCUCAAAACACCAAAAUUCACUCACACAAACUGAUCAAUAAGCUCAAUAAAUUCAUGCAGCAACAUGAUCGUCAAUUCAAUUAAUAUACAUGCCAAAAAAUCCACUUUUAAACUUGACUAACCCCCAUUUUGGAACAAAUUUUACAAGAAUUCAAUUCAA
This 1520-nucleotide unclassified non-coding RNA is filed under the name Hevea brasiliensis (rubber tree). Lineage: Eukaryota; Viridiplantae; Streptophyta; Magnoliopsida; Malpighiales; Euphorbiaceae. The record is from RNAcentral.